Molecule: long non-coding RNA, 323 nt
Filed under: Elaeis guineensis (African oil palm)
Lineage: Eukaryota; Viridiplantae; Streptophyta; Magnoliopsida; Arecales; Arecaceae
Description: long non-coding RNA (EGUI_LNC052291)
Source: RNAcentral
UGAGGUUGGCCAUCCUCAUCCACACUUCUUGACCUACCUUGGCCUCGACCUCUACCCCUAUUUGGGACUCUUCCUCGGCCUACAUAACCCAUUGGUGGUUGCUCUCCACCAACACCUGAUCUUGUUCACACCAUCUUCCUAUAAGAAUAAUAAAAAGAAUCAACUAGAAUCAUUAUGCUAUAACUAUACUCAUAUAAUCUAUUAACCUAGAAUCUGAUACCAAACAAUAUAGCACCCCACCUCCUAAUCAAGCAAGGGUUUAAUAGCUGAGCUAGGUUUUCGUAGCAUCUCAUGCCAUGGUUCACAAGAAACUAAUAAAUCCU